This 468-nucleotide ribosomal RNA is filed under the name uncultured bacterium. RNAcentral describes it as "partial 16S ribosomal RNA". It matches the Rfam family "Bacterial small subunit ribosomal RNA", at positions 28 to 507 of the family's 1533-position model. The record is from RNAcentral.
GACGAACGCUGGCGGCGUGCUUAACACAUGCAAGUCGAACGGAAAGGCCCUGCUUUUGUGGGGUGCUCGAGUGGCGAACGGGUGAGUAACACGUGAGUAACCUGCCCUUGACUUUGGGAUAACUUCAGGAAACUGGGGCUAAUACCGGAUAGGAGCUCCUGCUGCAUGGUGGGGGUUGGAAAGUUUCGGCGGUUGGGGAUGGACUCGCGGCUUAUCAGCUUGUUUGUGGGGUAGUGGCUUACCAAGGCUUUGACGGGUAGCCGGCCUGAGAGGGUGACCGGCCACAUUGGGACUGAGAUACGGCCCAGACUCCUACGGGAGGCAGCAGUGGGGAAUAUUGCACAAUGAGCGGAAGCCUGAUGCAGCAACGCCGCGUGCGGGAUGACGGCCUUCGGGUUGUAAACCGCUUUCGCCUGUGACGAAGCGUGAGUGACGGUAAUGGGUAAAGAAGCACCGGCUAACUACGUG